UAUCUCUGUAGAGUCUGCAUAUCAAUAAGCGGAGGAAAAGAAACUAACUAGGAUUCCCUCAGUAACGGCGAGUGAAGCGGGAAGAGCUCAAAUUUGAAAUCUUCAAGGUUUUACCUUGACGAAUUGUAGUUUAAAGAAGUGUUUUCUGUUGGAGUUUUGGUAAAAGUUCUUUGGAAUAGGACAUCAUAGAGGGUGAGAAUCCCGUAUUUGACCAUUAUUUCCAGCUUUGUGAUACACUUUCAAAGAGUCGGAUUGUUUGGGAAUGCAGUCCAAAAUGGGUGGUAAAUUUCAUCUAAAGCUAAAUACUGGCGAGAGACCGAUAGCGAACAAGUACCGUGAGGGAAAGAUGAAAAGAACUUUGAAAAGAGAGUUAAACAGUACGUGAAAUUGUCAAAAGGGAGGCGUUUGACACCAGUGUUGUUUUCUCGAAAAUCAAUUAAAAAUGGUGGGAUUUUGUGUUGUAUUGACUUUAUCAGCUUUCUGCACUCUUUUCCUGUCUUUUUUAAUGCACUUUUCGUUUAACAAGUCAACAUCAAUUUCUUUUGUUGUAAAAGGAGUCAUUGGAAGGUGGCUUUCUUUUCGGAGAAAGUGUUUAUAGCCUUUGGCUUCUGCAAUCGGAGAGAUUGAGGUCUGCAGCGUAGAUCCUUCGGGGUUAGAUACAUUUGUGCUAAGUUAUAGCCUUUCAUAGACAACUUGUUGACUAUGAUCAGUCAUGUAGCUUACUCGCUUAUGCUAUUUUACCUACGCUUAGGAUGUUGAGUCAUCACACAUCUCU
RNAcentral lists this ribosomal RNA (775 nucleotides) under uncultured Neocallimastigales. RNAcentral's name for it is "partial large subunit ribosomal RNA". It matches the Rfam family "Eukaryotic large subunit ribosomal RNA", at positions 24 to 614 of the family's 3401-position model. The record is from RNAcentral. Lineage: Eukaryota; Fungi; Neocallimastigomycota; Neocallimastigomycetes; Neocallimastigales.